This 252-nucleotide ribosomal RNA is filed under the name uncultured bacterium. Its description in RNAcentral is "partial 16S ribosomal RNA". It matches the Rfam family "Bacterial small subunit ribosomal RNA", at positions 524 to 776 of the family's 1533-position model. The record is from RNAcentral.
UACGUAGGGUGCGAGCGUUAAUCGGAAUUACUGGGCGUAAAGGGUGCGCAGGCGGUUAUAUAAGACAGAUGUGAAAUCCCCGGGCUCAACCUGGGAACUGCGUUUGUGACUGUAUGCUAGAGUACGGUAGAGAGGGGUGGAAUUCCUGGUGUAGCAGUGAAAUGCGUAGAUAUCAGGAGGAACAUCGAUGGCGAAGGCAGCCCCUUGGACCUGUACUGACGCUCAUGCACGAAAGCGUGGGGAGCAAACAGG